AACCUUUACACUGUACGACAGUGCGAUAAGGGAAUCCCAAGUGCGUAGGCAUAGAGCCUACGCUUUUGUCCACCGUAGGGAGGUGGACGAAUAAGGGCUGGGCAAGACCGGUGCCAGCCGCCGCGGUAACACCGGCAGCCCAAGUGAUGGCCGAUAUUAUUGGGCCUAAAGCGUCCGUAGCUGGCCGAGCAAGUUCGUCGGGAAAUCCACGCGCUUAACGUGUGGGCGUCCGGCGAAAACUGUUCGGCUUGGGACCGGAAGAUCUGAGGGGUACGUCUGGGGUAGGAGUGAAAUCCCGUAAUCCUGGACGGACCACCGAUGGCGAAAGCACGUCGCGAAGACGGAUCCGACAGUGAGGGACGAAAGCUAGGGUCUCGAACCGGAUUAGAUACCCGGGUAGUCCUAGCCGUAAACGAUGCCUGUUAGGUGUGACUCCCACUACGAGUGGGUGUUGUGCCGUAGGGAAGCCGCUAAACAGGCCGCCUGGGAAGUACGUCUGCAAGGAUGAAACUUAA
RNAcentral lists this ribosomal RNA (515 nucleotides) under uncultured archaeon. RNAcentral's name for it is "bacterial SSU rRNA". It matches the Rfam family "Archaeal small subunit ribosomal RNA", at positions 345 to 859 of the family's 1478-position model. The record is from RNAcentral.